This 72-nucleotide transfer RNA is filed under the name Camelus bactrianus (Bactrian camel). It matches the Rfam family "tRNA". Rfam says of the family: Transfer RNA (tRNA) molecules are approximately 80 nucleotides in length. Their secondary structure includes four short double-helical elements and three loops (D, anti-codon, and T loops). Further hydrogen bonds mediate the characteristic L-shaped molecular structure. tRNAs have two regions of fundamental functional importance: the anti-codon, which is responsible for specific mRNA codon recognition, and the 3' end, to which the tRNAs corresponding amino acid is attached (by aminoacyl-tRNA synthetases). tRNAs cope with the degeneracy of the genetic code in two manners: having more than one tRNA (with a specific anti-codon) for a particular amino acid; and 'wobble' base-pairing, i.e. permitting non-standard base-pairing at the 3rd anti-codon position. The record is from Rfam by way of RNAcentral. RNAcentral also lists the same sequence under 2 other names. Lineage: Eukaryota; Metazoa; Chordata; Mammalia; Artiodactyla; Camelidae.
GUGGGUAUAGCUCAGUGGUAGAGCACAUGCUUAGCAUGCAGGAGGUCCUGGGUUCCAUCCCCAGUACCUCCA